RNAcentral lists this transfer RNA (73 nucleotides) under Candidatus Altimarinota bacterium. Its description in RNAcentral is "tRNA-Arg". It matches the Rfam family "tRNA". From Rfam's summary of the family: Transfer RNA (tRNA) molecules are approximately 80 nucleotides in length. Lineage: Bacteria; Candidatus Altimarinota. The record is from RNAcentral.
GCUCUUGUAGUUCAACGGGAUAGAACGACCCUCUCCUAAGGGGUAAAUACAGGUUCGAGUCCUGUCAGGGGUA